This 1342-nucleotide long non-coding RNA is filed under the name Sus scrofa (pig). RNAcentral describes it as "lncRNA (ENSSSCG00045013342.1)". The record is from RNAcentral. Lineage: Eukaryota; Metazoa; Chordata; Mammalia; Artiodactyla; Suidae.
UUACCACCGACCAGUCCUCAGCCGGCAACAUGAAGCUGGGUGGCCUCUGCCUCCUGCUCCUCCUCGCCGUCCUUCUCACCCUCAAUGCAGAGUUCCAAGCAGUUGAUGUAGGUAUCUGUGUGACGGAGUGCAAGGUAGACCAGGACUGUGGGGCAGGAAGACGAUGCACCAGCAAUGGAUGUGGCCGGGUCUGCUCCCCAGUCCGGCGAAGAGAGGCCUGCGAGCACCAGUGCAGAGAAGACAGGGACUGUGGGAGUGGACAUCAGUGCGUGAGGAAGGGCUGUGGGCACGUCUGCGCCCCCGUCCAUCAAGUCGAUGUAGGUAUCUGUGUGAUGGAGUGCCGUGUAGACCAGGACUGUGGGGAAGGAAGACUAUGCAUCAGUAAUGGGUGUGGCCGUGUCUGCUUCCCAGUCCGGCGAAGAGAGGCCUGCGAGCACCAGUGCAGAGAAGACAGGGACUGUGGGAGUGGACAUCAGUGCGUGAGGAAGGGCUGUGGGCACGUCUGCGCCCCCGUCCAUCAAGUCGAUGUAGGUAUCUGUGUGACGGAGUGCCGUGUAGACCAGGACUGUGGGGAAGGAAGACUAUGCAUCAGUAAUGGGUGUGGCCGUGUCUGCUUCCCAGGGCGAAGAGAGGCCUGCGAGCACCAGUGCAGAGAAGACAGGGACUGUGGGAGUGGACAUCAGUGCGUGAGGAAGGGCUGUGGGCACGUCUGCGCCCCCGUCCAUCAAGUCGGUAUCUGUGUGACGGAGUGCAACGUAGACCAGGACUGUGGGGAAGGAAGACAAUGCACCAGCAAUGGGUGUGGCCGUGUCUGCUCCCCAGUCCAGCAAGAAGAUGUAGGUAUCUGUGUGAUGGAGUGCAAGGUAGACCAGGACUGUGGGGAAGGAAGAAGAUGCACCAGCAAUGGGUGUGGCCGUGUCUGCUCCCCAGUCCAGCAAAAAGAGGCCUGCGAGCACCAGUGCAGAGAAGACAGGGACUGUGGGAGUGGACAUCAGUGCGUGAGGAAGGGCUGUGGGCACGUCUGCGCCCCCGUCCAUCAAGUCGAUGUAGGUAUCUGUGUGACGGAGUGCCGUGUAGACCAGGACUGUGGGGAAGGAAGACAAUGCACCAGCAAUGGAUGUGGCCGUGUCUGCUCCCCAGCCCAGCAAAGAGAGGCCUGCGAGCACCAAUGCAGAGAAGACAAGGACUGUGGGAGUGGACAUCAGUGCGUGAGGAAGGGCUGUGGGCACGUCUGCUCCCCCAUCCCUCAAGUAGGUAUCUGUGUGACGGAGUGCAAUGUAGACCAGGACUGUGGGGCAGGAAGACGAUGCACCAGCAAUGGAUGUGGCCGUGUCUGCUCCCC